This 713-nucleotide ribosomal RNA is filed under the name uncultured bacterium. RNAcentral describes it as "bacterial SSU rRNA". It matches the Rfam family "Bacterial small subunit ribosomal RNA", at positions 49 to 743 of the family's 1533-position model. The record is from RNAcentral.
GUCUGCCUUGAAGAUCGGAGUGCUUGCACUCUGUGAAACAAGAUACAGGCUAGCGGCGGACGGGUGAGUAACACGUGGGUAACCUGCCCAAGAGAUCGGGAUAACACCUGGAAACAGAUGCUAAUACCAGAUAACAACAGAUGAUGCCUAUCAACUGUUUAAAAGAUGGUUCUGCUAUCACUCUUGGAUGGACCUGCGGUGCAUUAGCUAGUUGGUAGGGUAACGGCCUACCAAGGCGAUGAUGCAUAGCCGAGUUGAGAGACUGAUCGGCCACAUUGGGACUGAGACACGGCCCAAACUCCUACGGGAGGCAGCAGUAGGGAAUCUUCCACAAUGGACGCAAGUCUGAUGGAGCAACGCCGCGUGAGUGAAGAAGGGUUUCGGCUCGUAAAGCUCUGUUGUUGGUGAAGAAGGACGGGGGUAGUAACUGACCUUUGUUUGACGGUAAUCAAUUAGAAAGUCACGGCUAACUACGUGCCAGCAGCCGCGGUAAUACGUAGGUGGCAAGCGUUGUCCGGAUUUAUUGGGCGUAAAGCGAGUGCAGGCGGUUCGAUAAGUCUGAUGUGAAAGCCUUCGGCUCAACCGGAGAAUUGCAUCAGAAACUGUCGAGCUUGAGUACAGAAGAGGAGAGUGGAACUCCAUGUGUAGCGGUGAAAUGCGUAGAUAUAUGGAAGAACACCGGUGGCGAAGGCGGCUCUCUGGUCUGUUACUGA